AGUGAACGCUGGCGGUAGGCCUAACACAUGCAAGUCGAACGGCAGCACAGUAAGAGCUUGCUCUUACGGGUGGCGAGUGGCGGACGGGUGAGGAAUACAUCGGAAUCUACUUUUUCGUGGGGGAUAACGUAGGGAAACUUACGCUAAUACCGCAUACGACCUACGGGUGAAAGCGGGGGAUCUUCGGACCUUGCGCGAUUGAAUGAGCCGAUGUCGGAUUAGCUAGUUGGCGGGGUAAAGGCCCACCAAGGCGACGAUCCGUAGCUGGUCUGAGAGGAUGAUCAGCCACACUGGAAGUGAGACACGGUCCAGACUCCUACGGGAGGCAGCAGUGGGGAAUAUUGGACAAUGGGCGCAAGCCUGAUCCAGCCAUACCGCGUGGGUGAAGAAGGCCUUCGGGUUGUAAAGCCCUUUUGUUGGGAAAGAAAAGCAGCAGGUUAAUACCCCGCUGUUCUGACGGUACCCAAAGAAUAAGCACCGGCUAACUUCGUG
RNAcentral lists this ribosomal RNA (492 nucleotides) under uncultured bacterium. RNAcentral's name for it is "partial 16S ribosomal RNA". It matches the Rfam family "Bacterial small subunit ribosomal RNA", at positions 29 to 507 of the family's 1533-position model. The record is from RNAcentral.